AUGUCUUCAUCCUCGGGCGCUUCCCAAACCAGCCUCAAUGGCCAAGUUACCGAGAAGCCGACGCGCACAAACUAUGUGCUAUGGCGCACGGAAGUGAUUCCCCAGUUGCGUGGCGCCGGUGUCUUCGGCUACGCCGACGGCACUCAGCCGGAGCCGGCGAGACUCCUCGUCACCACAAAGGACGGCAAGGAGGUGUCAUCGCCCAACCCUCUCCACCCAAUCUGGGUCAGGGAGGAUCAGCAGGUCCUCGGAUACCUGCUGAACGAUCUGAUGCGCGAGGUGCUGCUCACAGUGACCACGGUCACCACCGCGGGCGCGCUCUGGACGACGCUCGCCGGCAUGUUUUCCUCGCAGUCCGCCAGUCGCAUCAACAACAUCCGAACCUCCCUCAUCAACGCGCAGAAGGGCAACCUCUCCGUCGCCUCCUACUUCGCUGCCAUGCGCGGCUACACCGACGAGCUCGCAGCCGCGGGCAAGGCGAUCCCCGACGACGAACUGGCCUCCUACAUCAUCCACGGGCUCGACGCCGACUAUCAGCCCCUAGUCUCUGCCCUAGACGCUCGUGUGACCCAGGUAACCCUUGAUGAGCUCUUUGCCAUGCUGUCAAAUUUCGAUCAGCGCAUGGCACAGUUCCAAGGAUUCGGCGGCGGCGGCUUCAAGUCGUCCGCAAAACAUGGCCACUCGCGAGCGGGGUGGAGGCUCCCGAUCGCGUGGCUCCUCUCGCAACAAGGGCAGGUUUGGCGGCAGCAACCGUGGCGUCACGCCACCUCAAUCUGGUGGCCGUGGUCGCCGUGGACGAGGCGCUGGUGGUGGCGUCAGAAACCGCCCGGACGCUCCCCGGUGCCAGAUCUGCGGCAAGCCUGGACACACAGCGAAGGACUGCUGAUACAGGUAUGA
Molecule: ribosomal RNA, 897 nt
Filed under: Triticum aestivum (bread wheat)
Lineage: Eukaryota; Viridiplantae; Streptophyta; Magnoliopsida; Poales; Poaceae
Description: partial small subunit ribosomal RNA
Source: RNAcentral